CCGAAACUGCAAUUCAAAGUUAACGUUGUUAUGUUAAGCCUAUGUUUUGUUAAUGUUAAUUAACAUUCUUCCAUUCGGAUUCACAGGGCGACCAGGCUGCCACGUUUUAUGCCAGAUUAUAAACAAAAUGGUUAGACCCGCCUUUUCACUUUUUAACAAAUUUUAUUUUAAAUGCAAAAUCAAAUGUGAGCUUAGAUUACUGCUAAAUUUACGAUUAAAAACAUAUUGUAUACAAAGUAAAUAUAAUAGCAAUUAAAACCACAUCGAAA
Drosophila montana is the source of this 269-nucleotide long non-coding RNA. RefSeq lists it as uncharacterized. The record is from RefSeq and is a predicted model, not a curated record. Lineage: Eukaryota; Metazoa; Arthropoda; Insecta; Diptera; Drosophilidae. The transcript is spliced from 2 exons.